RNAcentral lists this ribosomal RNA (253 nucleotides) under uncultured bacterium. Its description in RNAcentral is "partial 16S ribosomal RNA". It matches the Rfam family "Bacterial small subunit ribosomal RNA", at positions 524 to 776 of the family's 1533-position model. The record is from RNAcentral.
UACGGAGGGUGCAAACGUUGCUCGGAAUCAUUGGGCGUAAAGCGCACGUAGGCGGCCCGUUAAGUCGGAUGUGAAAGCCCUCGGCUCAACCGAGGAAGUGCAUCCGAAACUGGCGGGCUUGAGUACGGAAGAGGGUCUCGGAAUUCCCGGUGUAGAGGUGAAAUUCGUAGAUAUCGGGAGGAACACCAGUGGCGAAGGCGGAGACCUGGGUAGAUACUGACGCUGAGGUGCGAAAGCGUGGGGAGCAAACAGG